RNAcentral lists this ribosomal RNA (253 nucleotides) under uncultured bacterium. Its description in RNAcentral is "partial 16S ribosomal RNA". It matches the Rfam family "Bacterial small subunit ribosomal RNA", at positions 524 to 776 of the family's 1533-position model. The record is from RNAcentral.
UACGUAGGGGGCAAGCGUUGUCCGGAUUUAUUGGGCGUAAAGAGCGUGUAGGCGGCCAAUCAGGUCAGCUGUGAAAACUCGAGGCUCAACCUCGAGACGUCGGUUGAAACCGUUUGGCUAGAGUCCGGAAGAGGAGAGUGGAAUUCCCGGUGUAGCGGUGAAAUGCGUAGAUAUCGGGAAGAACACCCGUGGCGAAGGCGGCUCUCUGGGACGGUACUGACGCUGAGACGCGAAAGCGUGGGGAGCGAACAGG